This 555-nucleotide ribosomal RNA is filed under the name uncultured Oxalobacteraceae bacterium. RNAcentral describes it as "bacterial SSU rRNA". It matches the Rfam family "Bacterial small subunit ribosomal RNA", at positions 60 to 610 of the family's 1533-position model. The record is from RNAcentral. Lineage: Bacteria; Pseudomonadati; Pseudomonadota; Betaproteobacteria; Burkholderiales; Oxalobacteraceae.
AGUCGAACGGCAGCACGAGGGCAACCCUGGUGGCGAGUGGCGAACGGGUGAGUAAUAUAUCGGAACGUACCCAGUAGUGGGGGAUAACUAUCCGAAAGGAUAGCUAAUACCGCAUACGAUCUGUGGAUGAAAGCAGGGGAUCUUCGGACCUUGUGCUAUUGGAAUGGCCGAUAUCUGAUUAGCUAGUUGGUAGGGUAAAAGCCUACCAAGGCGACGAUCAGUAGCUGGUCUGAGAGGACGACCAGCCACACUGGAACUGAGACACGGUCCAGACUCCUACGGGAGGCAGCAGUGGGGAAUUUUGGACAAUGGGGGCAACCCUGAUCCAGCAAUGCCGCGUGAGUGAAGAAGGCCCUCGGGUUGUAAAGCUCUUUUGUCAGGGAAGAAACGGUGAUCUCUAAUAUAGAUUGCUAAUGACGGUACCUGAAGAAUAAGCACCGGCUAACUACGUGCCAGCAGCCGCGGUAAUACGUAGGGUGCAAGCGUUAAUCGGAAUUACUGGGCGUAAAGCGUGCGCAGGCGGUUUUGUAAGUCUGAUGUGAAAUCCCCGGGCUC